Molecule: ribosomal RNA, 512 nt
Filed under: uncultured bacterium
Lineage: Bacteria
Description: bacterial SSU rRNA
Rfam family: Bacterial small subunit ribosomal RNA
Source: RNAcentral
AGAGUUCGAUUCUGGCUCAGGAUGAACGCUAGCUACAGGCUUAACACAUGCAAGUCGAGGGGUAGCAGGGUAGCAAUACCGCUGACGACGGCGCACGGGUGAGUAACACAUAUCCAACCUUCCCAUAACUCAGGGAUAGCCUUUCGAAAGAAAGAUUAAUACCUGAUAGUACUUUUUCAAGGCAUCUUGAGAAAGUUAAGGAUUUAUUGGUUAUGGAUGGGGAUGCGUUCCAUUAGAUAGUUGGUGAGGUAACGGCUCACCAAGUCUUCGAUGGAUAGGGGUUCUGAGAGGAAGGUCCCCACAUUGGUACUGAGACACGGACCAAACUCCUACGGGAGGCAGCAGUGAGGAAUAUUGGUCAAUGGGCGAGAGCCUGAACCAGCCAAGUAGCGUGAAGGAAUGAAGGUCCUAUGGAUUGUAAACUUCUUUUAUAGUAGAAUAAAGUGAGCCACGUGUGGUUUUUUGUAUGUAUACUAUGAAUAAGGAUCGGCUAACUCCGUGCCAGCAGCCGC